CGGCUAACCUAAUUACCUAUCAGAGAGCACAAUUGGAUUAUCAUAUUAUGGAUGAUAAUUUCAAUGGCCGAUAAACACCAGGCGUGUGGCGCCUCCAAUUAUUAUCGAACCAUUGGACCCAUUAUCAUUCAACUUAAUGGAAGAUUUUGAGCUAGUUAUAACUAUUUUAUUUUAGGAACCUAAUAAUUUUAGAGAAUUUGAUUUAAUAGAGAAAAGAGAAGAGAAGAACCGGUUAAUCUUGAUCCUCCCACUGACUUCACCAAGUUAGAUUAAAAAAGGAACUAUAUUCAACCUAGUUCUUAGGCACCUAAAUCAGUCACACUGAUUUUUCUUAUAGGCAUGGGUUAACUCGAAUCAUUAAGUGAUCUAAUAAAAAAUGAUUGACCAAGUCGGCCAGGUAAGUGAGAUCGGUGAGAAGGAUAUGUCAUUAACGCGAUAAAGACGAAUCAGUGCGAGUAGCUCCCAAUUAAAAACCACAAGUCAAAACUGCCAAACUUACCUUAGACGCCGAGUGGUUAAUCAAUUUUAAUUUUGACCAUCCUAAUUACUCGGCCUCAACCACUGAGCCUCAAUCAAGUUCCAUUUGGUCUAAUCAAAGACAUGGACUUGAUCAAGUACAACUAUUGUAUUUGAUUAAGUAUCCUUGAGCUAAUUUAAUUACUACUUAGUUAGAUUUGAUCAAUUACUCCAAUUAGUCCAUCUUUGAUUUUAACCCUAGGUCUAACCUAGUUCACUACAACUUGAUUUGAGCUAACCCAAAUACUCCCAAGAUUUAUGCAAUGUCAAUUAGAUUUCAAUUCACAAUUCUAGAUCACUUAAUUCUCAAUUAAGUAUAGGUUUAUGAAAAAUUUCAGAUCAUUGUAUAAGUCUUGAAUCACAUGUUAAUUACAAACUUU
Molecule: long non-coding RNA, 896 nt
Filed under: Phoenix dactylifera (date palm)
Lineage: Eukaryota; Viridiplantae; Streptophyta; Magnoliopsida; Arecales; Arecaceae
Description: long non-coding RNA (PDAC_LNC011619)
Source: RNAcentral